RNAcentral lists this ribosomal RNA (218 nucleotides) under uncultured bacterium. Its description in RNAcentral is "partial 16S ribosomal RNA". It matches the Rfam family "Bacterial small subunit ribosomal RNA", at positions 328 to 539 of the family's 1533-position model. The record is from RNAcentral.
ACGCUCGACACCUACGGGAGACAGCAGUGAGGAAUAUUGGUCAAUGGACGCAAGUCUGAACCAGCCAUGCCGCGUGCAGGAUGACGGCUCUAUGAGUUGUAAACUGCUUUUGUACGAGGGUAAACGCAGAUACGUGUAUCUGUCUGAAAGUAUCGUACGAAUAAGGAUCGGCUAACUCCGUGUCAGCAGCCGCGGUAAUCUGAGCGGGCUGGCAAGGC